UUCCCAGGCCAGGGAUUGACCUUAAGCCACAGCAGUAACCCAAGCCAGCAGUGACAAUACCGAGUCCUUAACUGCUAGGCCUCUAGGGAACUCCUAAAAUCUGCAUUUUAAAAUAGGGAAGCAAUCUAAAAAAAUAAAAAUAAAACAGGGAAGUGGAGAAAUGUUCUGAUUCUGCUUUUUAAUGGCUCAGAGCAAUGGCUUUAAGGACUGUCCCUCAAACUGCAUGUGAAUAUUCCUAGCCAGCCUCUGCUUUAUCAUACUUGGUCUCAGUAAGAUGAGACUUUAUUCCAGUUGAAUGGGUCAUCUUGCACACUGGCUGAGGGAAACUAUACACUGACAAAACUUCUGGAGUCCAGCAGCUGUAGGAGACAAGUAUAAAAUUGGAAAGCCUGAGAUUGGUCAAGGCAAGACCAGACCAGUGUGAGUUUAUUGAGGCAGGACGACUAUCAAAAAGGGGUGCAGAGAAGUCAGACUGAAAUCUGAUAGGAUAAGAUGGAGAAAACUUCAUUCAACAGAAGUCCUUAGAGGCAGGGCUCUGGCUUGUGAUGAGUGCAUUGACAAAUGAGUUGGACGGCGUUCUCAUCUUGAGACCCAAGGAUGAAGAUGCAGGUCCGGCCUAAGCUGGGAGAAAGGGAAGGCUUCACACAGCAUGUGAAAUUGAACUUUGAUUUACAUUGGACAGGACUUUCCAGAUCCUGAAGUUUCAGCUGGAUUUAAUACAGAUCACUUCAAUAAUUUGUCAAGAAUUUCCAAGAUCCCUGUUUACAGAUUAACGGAUUCAGCACAAUGGCAUCAGAAACAUUUUUAAAGAUCAAGAUGACAAGAUUUGUUUAC
RNAcentral lists this long non-coding RNA (834 nucleotides) under Sus scrofa (pig). RNAcentral's name for it is "lncRNA (ENSSSCG00035046413.1)". Lineage: Eukaryota; Metazoa; Chordata; Mammalia; Artiodactyla; Suidae. The record is from RNAcentral.